CCGAGUUUACAACUCCCAAACCCCUGUGAACAUACCAAUUGUUGCCUCGGCGGAUCAGCCCGCUCCCGGUAAAACGGGACGGCCCGCCAGAGGACCCCUAAACUCUGUUUCUAUAUGUGACUUCUGAGUAAAACCAUAAAUAAAUCA
Molecule: unclassified non-coding RNA, 147 nt
Filed under: soil metagenome
Description: partial internal transcribed spacer 1
Source: RNAcentral